CGCCCGCCUGCAGUGCUGGCCAUGGCGGCGACGGGAGCCGGAGAGCGUGCGGUCGCGGCGGGGCUCGGGGCUCUGUCUGCGCGGCCGCUGGGCUCAGCGGAGCCGCUGUCGCUCGGCUCGCUGCACGGAAAGGUGUUGCUGGUGGUGAACGUGGCGUCGCUUUGAGGCACCACCACCCGCGACUUCCUUCAGCUCAGAGACCUGCAGCAGCGGUACGGGUCUCGCGGGCUGCAGGUCCUCGCCUUCCCCUGCAACCAGUUCGGGCAUCAGGAAAAUGCGACGAACGAGGAGAUCCUGUUGUCGCUAGAGCAUGUCCGUCCCGGGAAGGGGUACAAGCCCAACUUCAUCAUGUUCGAGAAGUGCGAGGUCAACGGGAAGAACGCGCACCCCCUCUUCACCUUCCUGAAAGAGGCGCUACCCUUCCCGCAUGAUGACCCCUCCUCCCUGAUGACCAACCCGCAGUACAUCAUCUGGUCCCCAGUGUGCCGCAACGACAUCUCCUGGAACUUCGAGAAGUUCCUCAUCGGCCUGGACAGCGUGCCCUGCACUGGUGGAUGAGUUUCAUCAUCAAAAACAUUUGGGAUUUGAGGUUUUGGUUGUUGGUUUCUUUUUUUCUGUCAGUAGCUGUGGGAAUUCUGAAAGAGCCAAGGCCACGUAGUGAGCGAUCC
This is an RNA transcript of Melopsittacus undulatus (budgerigar), 668 nucleotides long. It is a transcript of the gene named glutathione peroxidase 1-like, with no coding region annotated. The transcript has 2 exons. The record is from RefSeq and is a predicted model, not a curated record. Lineage: Eukaryota; Metazoa; Chordata; Aves; Psittaciformes; Psittaculidae.